RNAcentral lists this long non-coding RNA (295 nucleotides) under Helianthus annuus (common sunflower). RNAcentral describes it as "hypothetical non coding rna". Lineage: Eukaryota; Viridiplantae; Streptophyta; Magnoliopsida; Asterales; Asteraceae. The record is from RNAcentral.
CCACUUAACUUCAAUUUGGAUGAUGACCUAAACAAUCUCACAUUAACAUUGAAUCCAAAUGCAUGGACACAGAUGGCUAAUAUCAUAUUUGUGGAUAUACCUACUGGUACCGGCUUUUCCUAUUCAGAAACCAAAGAAGGAUGGAUUAGCAGUGAUAGUAUUCUAGCCAUCCAAGCUGUGGACUUCAUUAAAAAAGUUUCUGAGUGAUCGUCCCAAAUUUUUGAGGAAUCCAUUAUACAUAGCUGGAAUUUCUUACAUUGGCAUUAUCGUUCCCAAAAUCACUCUAGAAUUAUAU